UAGGACUUGGUGUAGUGGUGGCACGAAGAUUUUUGGGUUCUUAAGGUUAGGUUCGAUUCCUGUAGUUCUAG
Molecule: transfer RNA, 71 nt
Filed under: Diaemus youngi
Lineage: Eukaryota; Metazoa; Chordata; Mammalia; Chiroptera; Phyllostomidae
Description: tRNA-Gln
Rfam family: tRNA
About the family: Transfer RNA (tRNA) molecules are approximately 80 nucleotides in length. Their secondary structure includes four short double-helical elements and three loops (D, anti-codon, and T loops).
Source: RNAcentral